RNAcentral lists this ribosomal RNA (494 nucleotides) under uncultured bacterium. RNAcentral's name for it is "bacterial SSU rRNA". It matches the Rfam family "Bacterial small subunit ribosomal RNA", at positions 28 to 524 of the family's 1533-position model. The record is from RNAcentral.
GUUGAACGCUGGCGGCGUGCCUAACACAUGCAAGUCGAGCGGUAGGUGGCUUCGGCCAUUGAGAGCGGCGCACGGGUGAGUAACGCGUACAUGACCUGCCUGUCAGAAGGGGAUAGCCCUGGGAAACUGGGAUUAAUACCCUAUGGUAUUGAUAUUAUGAAUGAUAUCAAUUAAAGUUGAGGCGCUGACAGAUGGAUGUGCGUCUGAUUAGCUAGUUGGUAGGGUAACGGCCUACCAAGGCGACGAUCAGUAGGGGGCGUGAGAGCGUGGUCCCCCCACACGGGGUACUGAGACACGGACCCGACUCCUACGGGAGGCAGCAGUAAGGAAUAUUGGUCAAUGCCCGCAAGGUGAACCAGCCAUUCCGCGUGGAGGAUGAAGGCCCUAUGGGUUGUAAACUUCUUUUAGAUGGGAAGAAAAUGCUAGAUGUAUCUGGUACUGACGGUACCAUCAGAAUAAGCACCGGCUAACUCCGUGCCAGCAGCCGCGGUAAU